AACGAACGCUGGCGGCAGGCCUAACACAUGCAAGUCGAACGCUCGUAGCAAUACGAGAGUGGCAGACGGGUGAGUAACACGUGGGAACCUUCCCUAUGGUUCGGAAUAGCUCAGGGAAACUUGAGGUAAUACCGGAUAAGCCCUUCGGGGAAGAUUUAUCGCCAUUGGAUGGGCCCGCGUCGGAUUAGCUAGUUGGUGAGGUAACGGCUCACCAAGGCGACGAUCCGUAGCUGGUCNGAGAGGAUGAUCAGCCACACUGGGAC
Molecule: ribosomal RNA, 263 nt
Filed under: uncultured bacterium
Lineage: Bacteria
Description: partial 16S ribosomal RNA
Rfam family: Bacterial small subunit ribosomal RNA
Source: RNAcentral